CAGAAAAUAGUUUAAGUAAAACCUAAACUUUGGGAGUUUAAAAUGAUAAGUAUUUAUCUUUUCUGA
This 66-nucleotide transfer RNA is filed under the name Branchiostoma floridae (Florida lancelet). RNAcentral's name for it is "tRNA-Pro". The record is from RNAcentral. Lineage: Eukaryota; Metazoa; Chordata; Leptocardii; Amphioxiformes; Branchiostomatidae.